UCAAAGCAUCAAGCUUGGCUUGUCGUUGGGCCCUUUAUCACCAGGUGAUAGGUCCAAAAGAUAAUGAGCGGUGUCGUAAAGACUCUAUAUGCAACGAGCUGAUAACAGCACGCAUCUAGUGGUCGUACGGCCCGGUCCUCACCUCUUUAUUUUUCAA
This 157-nucleotide unclassified non-coding RNA is filed under the name uncultured Chaetothyriales. RNAcentral describes it as "sequence contains ITS2". Lineage: Eukaryota; Fungi; Ascomycota; Eurotiomycetes; Chaetothyriales. The record is from RNAcentral.